CAGGCGAAGGCCAAUGACAUGCUAAGGCAUACAACUCCCCCAAUCGGAGCUGCCGCCGCCGCCGUUGUCCGAUCUCUCUGCAACUCUCCUCCCUCUCCUUACCUCCCAAUGUCAAGCCAAACCCAUCUCCCAAAUGAACCCCAAAACCCACUGGAUUACCCAAUUCCGCUCUCCCCGCCUUUACCAGCCCUCUCGAAGCACGUGGAGCAGAGCAGAGCCAUGUCCGCUUCUUCAAGAUCCGCUCUCUUCUUUCUCUCUUCGCGCGACGUUCUCUUCCAGGACCAGUGGCUCGUCGCCGUCAACAAGCCUCGCGGGGUUUACUGCGAGUCUGUGUUGUCUUCGAUACCUCUUCUUCUUCCGCCGAACGAGUCACUCGACUCGGAUCAACUCGGUGUCCGAGUUAGUCAGCCGGAGCUUCAUCUUGCUAAUCGUCUUGACAGGGACACAAGUGGUGUCAUGGUUAUAACCAAGUCACACAAAGUAGCUGCUAAGCUGGUUAAGGCUUUCACUGAUCACAAAGUUAAAAAAACAUACAUUGCCCUUUGUGUUGGGUCUGCUCCAAAAUGGAAAAGGAUAACCAUUAAAUCAGGUCACGGUCGAUCAAAGUUUGGAGCUUGGCGUGUGUAUGCUGCAUCUGAUGUUGGCCGGAAAUUACCUGGUGGGUCUGUAGUUAGGGAGAUGGAAACAUUGUUUGAAGUAUUAUCAGUAAAUGGCCAAGUGAGCUUUGAAGAGGUAUCUGAACUAAGAAAAGAUGAAGACAAUUUGCUAGUUAAAGAAAAGGCUGUAAUUGAUGAUGCUGAACAGAAGGAUGAGGUUCUGGUGAGAGCAUUUCCCCAGAGCGGAAGAACUCAUCAAAUCCGCUUGCAUUGCCAGUAUCUUGGGAUUCCGAUAAGAGGGGAUGUGAAAUAUGAGGGCGUCUAUGAGUGGAAAGGGAGUACUUACGAUGGCCAUGAACUUCAUGCAGAGAGCUUGUCAUUUGAGCACCCUAUUACUGGUCUUCCACUUGUUUUCCAGGCACCUCUACCUUUGUGGGCAAGCAAGGCAUUGCAGCCACUGUAAUGUUGAUUUUGACUUAUUUUGGAAUUUUUGGGCAUUGGAGGCAUUCUCAACAAACAUUGUGAUGUAGAAGAAUACAAUCAACCAGUUACCGGAGUAUCAUGAUUUAUCAUUGGAGAUUAUUUUGGUCGCUCCAAAGGCAUUGGGCUUGUAGACUCCCUUUCUUCACUACCAUGUUGCAGUAUGAUGGAGCAUUGAAAGGAUGAAGCAUGAGGUUAGCAGUUGGUGGGUGUAGAUGGUUUCUUGUAGGGUAGAAUUUUUUGUUUUUCUUCUGCUUUAUUACUGUAUAAUUCUGAGAAUAAGGUGCUCCAUUAGAUGUUCUAAACUUAAAGACUGAAUUUUUCUGAAUAGAAGCAUUACAUGUGUAAUCUGAAUUAGUGCAGGAUUGGCAAUGGAAACCUGCUGCAGGCUAAGGGAGCUUUCAUUAUAAUACUCCAGUUUCACCAGGUUCGGAGGUUCAAACCAUGAAAUAAACUUGAAGCACAAUUCAAAGCGUGGACAAAGGAGAUGUUGUAGGUUAUGUAUGCGCGUGCUCUGUGGCUAGUUUUAAUAAAAUCAAAAGGUGUAUAGUUUGUCAAAAGUAUUGAAUGAUAAUAAUGAUGAUAUUUUUUAUUUACGUUUUACGUUUUGAUCUUUACGUAAUUGUCUAGGUUCAAAGGUUCAAUCCAUGAAAUGAACUCGAAGCACAAAGCGUGGACAAAGGAGAUGUCGUAGGUUUAUGUAGUUUUGGUUCAUCUACAUGGAUCACUCUUCCUUUUUGUCAACUUGUAUUUGGAAAAAGAAGAAAACAAAAUGAAACCUAUCCAUCUGAAGGAUACCUUUCAGAUAAUGUGGUAGAAGGUGUUAUUCUUCGUAAAUUAUAUUAUUUCUCAUUUCUUCUUCUUUAGUAAGAAAAUCUGUUGCACUAUUGUCUUCC
Malania oleifera is the source of this 1972-nucleotide RNA transcript. It is a transcript of the gene named RNA pseudouridine synthase 1, with no coding region annotated. The transcript has 4 exons. The record is from RefSeq and is a predicted model, not a curated record. NCBI's taxonomy places the organism in Eukaryota, Viridiplantae, Streptophyta, Magnoliopsida, Santalales, Ximeniaceae.